CACAAACAAGAUUUGUGCUUAAGAAGGCUCUAGAAUUUGGGCAUGCUGUUGUGGUCGUGGUCAACAAGAUUGAUAGACCUUCAGCUCGUCCAGACUAUGUCAUCAAUUCAACUUUUGAGCUCUUCAUUGAACUGAAUGCAUCUGAUGAGCAGUGUGAUUUCCAAGCGAUUUAUGCUAGUGGCAUUCAAGGUAAGGCUGGAUUAACCCCUGAUAAAUUGGCAGAAGAUCUUGGACCACUUUUUGAGUCUAUAAUCAGAUGCAUCCCUGGACCACAAAUUGACAAAGAUGGUGCAUUGCAAAUGCUGGCUACAAAUAUUGAGUAUGAUGAGCACAAAGGAAGGAUAGCCAUUGGCCGACUGCAUGCUGGAGAACUGCAAAAAGGAAUGGAUGUGAAGGUAUGCACAACAGAAGAUGCUUGUAGAUUUGCAAGAAUUAGUGAGCUUUUUGUAUAUGAGAAAUUCAGUCGGGUCCCUGUGGAGAAGGUGCAAGCUGGUGAUAUAUGUGCGGUUUGUGGAGUUGAUGAUAUUCAGAUUGGUGAGACAAUUGCUGACAAACAAUAUGGCAAACCAUUACCCGCUAUUAAGGUGGAGGAACCGACAGUAAAGAUGGCUUUCUCAAUUAACACUUCUCCAUUUGUUGGUCGUGAGGGCAAGUAUGUAACUAGUAGAAACUUAAGGGAUCGGCUCUACCGGGAGCUUGAGCGUAAUUUAGCAAUGAAAGUUGAAGAUGGUGAAACAGCAGAUACGUUCAUUGUUAGUGGUCGGGGUACUUUGCAUAUCACAAUACUUAUAGAGAACAUGCGGAGGGAAGGAUAUGAAUUUAUGGUGGG
RNAcentral lists this unclassified non-coding RNA (829 nucleotides) under Hevea brasiliensis (rubber tree). Lineage: Eukaryota; Viridiplantae; Streptophyta; Magnoliopsida; Malpighiales; Euphorbiaceae. The record is from RNAcentral.